UACGUAGGGUCCGAGCGUUGUCCGGAAUUACUAGGCGUAAAGAGCUCGUAGGUGGUUUGUCGCGUUGUUCGUGAAAACUCACAGCUCAACUGUGGGCGUGCGGGCGAUACGGGCAGACUUGAGUACUGCAGGGGAGACUGGAAUUCCUGGUGUAGCGGUGGAAUGCGCAGAUAUCAGGAGGAACACCGGUGGCGAAGGCGGGUCUCUGGGCAGUAACUGACGCUGAGGAGCGAAAGCGUGGGGAGCGAACAGG
Molecule: ribosomal RNA, 253 nt
Filed under: uncultured bacterium
Lineage: Bacteria
Description: partial 16S ribosomal RNA
Rfam family: Bacterial small subunit ribosomal RNA
Source: RNAcentral